RNAcentral lists this ribosomal RNA (440 nucleotides) under uncultured bacterium. RNAcentral's name for it is "partial 16S ribosomal RNA". It matches the Rfam family "Bacterial small subunit ribosomal RNA", at positions 338 to 795 of the family's 1533-position model. The record is from RNAcentral.
CCUACGGGAGGCAGCAGUGGGGGAUAUUGCACAAUGGGGGGAACCCUGAUGCAGCGACGCCGCGUGGGUGAAGAAGCGCCUCGGCGCGUAAAGCCCUGUCAGCAGGGAAGAAAAUGACGGUACCUGAAGAAGAAGCCCCGGCUAACUACGUGCCAGAAGCCGCGGUAAUACGUAGGGGGCAAGCGUUAUCCGGAUUUACUGGGUGGAAAGGGGGCGCAGACGGCGAUGCAAGCCAGGAGUGAAAGCCCGGGGCCCAACCCCGGGACUGCUCUUGGAACUGCGUGGCUGGAGUGCAGGAGGGGCAGGCGGAAUGCCUGGUGUAGCGGUGAAAUGCGUAGAUAUCAGGAGGAACACCGGUGGCGAAGGCGGCCUGCUGGACUGCAACUGACGUUGAGGCCCGAAAGCGUGGGGAGCAAACAGGAUUAGAUACCCCAGUAGUC